This 590-nucleotide long non-coding RNA is filed under the name Calidris pugnax (ruff). Its description in RNAcentral is "lncRNA (ENSCPUG00000009758.1)". The record is from RNAcentral. Lineage: Eukaryota; Metazoa; Chordata; Aves; Charadriiformes; Scolopacidae.
GUGGGGAGGAAGUGGUGGGACCAGGAGCAGAAGGGGAGACAGCGGCAGCCUCAGACCCAGAGGACGGCAAGGAAAGCAAAAUAUGGAUGGCUGCCAGAACAAACGCAGAGCCUUUUGGGAAAGUGUUUCGAGGCCUCAUGAGCAAGUCGGAGAACAAAGAGUCUCAGUUGUAUCCUCGAUAACUGGACACCACUGUUUCUGUGCCCUGAAAACGGAUCAAAAGGAACCAGAGCCCCCUUUUUAAAAUCUUCUAAAUAGAGGACGUAUGUUUCUGCAAAUCCUUUUCCAUGUGACUGAUCAGAAGCGACCCGAGCAAACCCAAGAAGCAUUAGAUGAACCUUAAGCAACCUCACCCCAGUGGAAGCUGCUGAAUUGAGAGGUCAGUGGUAAAAAUUUUCUUCUGAAACAGUGCUGUAGAUAGAUAAUUGGAAGGAAGUGAUACAAAAAUAAUCAUAGAAUCUUCUAGGUUGAAAGGGACCUUUAAGAUCAUCCAGUCCAACCAUCAACCUAACCCUGUCAACCUGCCUUUUAAAUGCAUCCAGGGAUGGUGCCUCAACCACUUCCCUGGGCAGCCCAUUCCAGUGCUUAAU